UGAAUUCCAGCAUUUUUAUUGAGCGCACCACAUCGGGGAGGGGCGGCAGUGGUUUCCACGGUAACCAAAGUAAGGCUUGUGCACUUGCUGAGCUUCCAGAUGCGAAUUAGUAAAAGCUAAAUUCAAAAGUAGAAUGGGCAUCUCCAAAGAGUACGAUAAAAACAUUUUGUAUCAAACUUGUGAUUAAAAAAAUACAAAAGUUAAACCCACAGGCAAAGAGGAAAAUGACAAUCCUGAGAGCUGCCCUGAUAGGUGAGCCUCGAACCUCGUCUAAAUCCGUAAGAAGGCAAACCCUGGGGAGGCCAGCACCCCUCGGGAGAGUGGGAGUGAACGCGGAGCCCACCUGGCUUCAUCUGGGCAAAGCUUCGUAGCGCCUCUGGCAGGAUGUGUGUCCAGUCCCCCGAGGGGCAGAGGCACUGCGGUGUGGACACACGAGGGCUGGGGGGCAGGGGCGGAGCCGAACCCUGCAGCCAGGCAAAAGCGGGAAAGGCCUGGUUCCUCCAGCAUUUCCCAGCUUUUGGGGGCUCCCAAGAGAUAGUGGUUCCCACUUGCCCAGCCACUGCUGUGGCCAAGCAGCAGGGUCGGACCUGAGCCUGUGGUCACAGCAGACUGGCUACUACUCAGCUCCAGGCCCUUAUUUCCAAUCCUCGGUGUCCAGGAGAGAAAGCCGGUCCCAGAGUGUGGAAGUGGCGUUACUGUACAGAGAGGCGGCAGGCAGGAGUCGCAGAUGGUGGUGGCUGCUAGGACAGCAUGGACUGCUGCACGGCCUUCUGCAGCGACUGCCGCGUCACCAGCAGACGCACCACCUCCUCCGAGCGCUUGGUGAGCCGCUUGCGGGCCUGGUCGUGUGUGACCAUGGUCAUGUCCCAGCCGUUCACCUGGC
Molecule: long non-coding RNA, 883 nt
Filed under: Homo sapiens (human)
Lineage: Eukaryota; Metazoa; Chordata; Mammalia; Primates; Hominidae
Description: HSALNT0236154
Source: RNAcentral